This 15680-nucleotide long non-coding RNA is filed under the name Trifolium pratense (red clover). RNAcentral describes it as "long non-coding RNA (TPRA_LNC003503)". The record is from RNAcentral. Lineage: Eukaryota; Viridiplantae; Streptophyta; Magnoliopsida; Fabales; Fabaceae.
GAUGAGGUUGUGGUCUGAGAGAUGGUGAUGAACCAGUGGUUGUUCCAGAAAAAGGGAUAUAGUUACCACCACUGCUUCCAUAUGUCGAUGGGAAAUGUAUAUGCUGUUGUUGCUGCUUAUUAAGGCCUUGUAUGUGAACUGAGGAUCUUUCAGUUUCUUGACUAACGGCAUUAGAACUGGAUGAUGGUAAUUGAUUUGGUUGCACUACUCGAACAUCGUGUUCCUGAGGUUUUUUAGCACUAAUGUCCAUAGUCGAAUAGGUAGGCUCACUCUUCACUUGGAUACCCGAAGAAGUAUUAUGAGAAUGGUCUGGAGCAGCACUCAUACUUCUCUGAUGCAGUUGUGCUAAUGCAUGGGGAUCGUUAAACUUUGUUCCACUGGAAGUAACACUUGGCAUCCUUACAGGGUGCUGCUGUCCAGAAGAACCUGUGUUGGCUUUUGUCUGCAAGAAAAAAGGAUGGUUCUUAGCAUAACGUUGAAAUCGAAAUUCAACCACCUUGAGAUAAAACAUAUGAAAGACUGCAUAACCAUCUACUCUACCUACCUGUUGUUGCACUUUUGUUAAUGCUAUUCUAAGCAUCUGAUCCCCCACGAUCCCUUUCAUAAGCCGUACAAAAUUAUCUUUAGGUAUUUCAUCUCUCUGGAACAAAUGACAAAACAAAAGACUUAGUAAUAUGAAAAAGCAUUACACAACAAACUUUAAUUGUUUAGCAUAGAAGAGAGGGGGAAAGGACAUGAUAGUGAAACUGGUUCGAGAAUCCCACCUUCAAUUUGUUAAAUAAAGUUUGAAGUUGCAUGGCUCUGUCUUUGGCAAGUUGGGGAAUCAAAAUAGGGAGCAACAAGCCAAACGGUACCUGUUUACUACGAUUGACUUGGCUACUAGGUUGUUCAUUGACCGUGGCCUGUUGAUUACUCAUCUGCUGUAGCUUUGCAUACUGAGAUUCACAGUUGGGAUUACUUGUUUUGAUUGCCUCAUGGUUGAAGAUAGGAUCUUUUUCAGAUUUCAGAACUUCAUUUGUUUGAGGAUGUUGGUGGGAAACUUGUACAGUCUGGCGUUGGAGAAAUUCAUCUUGAGAUUUUUUGUGUGAUAAAGUAAGAUUACUUGCAUCCUGUGAGGCAACAUUCUGUAUUUGUUCCACGAUAGGUCCUUCUUGCUUCAGCACCAUUUCAGAGGAAGGUUGCUCUUGCAGCUGUGCAAUUUUAGGCUCCUGAUUUUGACAGUCAAUCUGGUUGUCAUGGCUAGAAGUUGGCCAAGUUGAUAAUGAUUGACUGAAUGAAUUAUUGCUUCCUUCAGAAAAAAAAUGAAGCAAUCAUCAAAGCACUGUGUGAAAGUGAUCAAAAUUUUAUCAAGCAAACAGAAAAAUAAGAAUCAACAGUCAAUAUAACAUUUCUAUACUCCGGUCCAGAUAUUCUGAUUAUCUAUUAAUACUGGACUCUUUUCUUUUUUUUUGACAAAAUUAAUACUGGACUCUUACAUAAUGAACAAUCGGAUACAAAAGUGCAAAUUCUUCUUUUUAAACAGUAAAUGAAAAUUAGAAGAAAAAUGUGAUAAAGACUGAGACAAAAGAUGACAAAUCAGGCCCCUGUCUGUUUAAAUUAGCAAACAUGAAAAUGACAUUUUAGAAGAUAAUAUGACAAGAAUCUUAACGAGAGUUACUACUUAAAAUAGUCAACAAAAGGACAAGGAAUCAACCGUGCAGAUAUUUUUUUGAAGAAAGAAGCACUAGCGGUGAUUGAUAGAUUGAUAUUGAAAUGAGAAUUCAUCAAGUAUUUUAAGCUGGGGGACAGAUAUGUGAAACCCAUUUCUGCAAUCAUAUCUUGAUUCAUACAGAUCCAAACACAGUCGAUACAGAUCAAACUGUAAAUCUCUUUUGGACUUGGAAUGGAGCAUGAAUCUCAAUUUGCUCUUUUUUUUUUUUUAAAUGGCACAUGUUGGCAAUCAAUUGUUAGCAACGUUAUUGGGAGGGAGUUAAACUCACAACCCUUUAUCUCUCAAACCCUUAUGAUCCUCCCCAGACCCGCAGACCACCUCAUCACUCCUACAAAUUUUAAUCAUGUAUUGUUUUGAAAUUCAUAAUGAUAUAUCAGUUUUCAUUUUGUUUGCUUAUUCACUUUUUUUUAUUUACAAAUGCCAUAUUUUUACUGGCGUGUGUAUUUCUAUUUUCUACCAAUUUUAAUGCAAAAAGGAAAAAGGACGGAAGCUAACUAAUUCGUAAGAAUUAUAACGUAAAUUGAUGGAUACCUGCAUCUGAAUCAGAAAGCUGAGAAUUAGAAGCAUCUCCACCUAUGUCUCUAUUCAAUGCAGCUUGGAACGCUUCCACAUCUGCCCCUGAAUGCAUAGUUUCGUCCUGUGGACAUCAAAACACAGUGAUGGUACAAGUUAAGCCCCAAUUCAAAGUCAGCAGAUGUUUUCUGGAAAGUAUAUAGUAGAGAGGAGAAAACCUCAUCAUCUUCAAGAAGCUUCACUAUAGAUGGGUCCAUAGCAGCGCGCCGUUUUCUUUGUUGCUCUUUUAUACCAACCGCAAUUCAGAUAUUUUCUUUACGCAAGCUCAUAAAAGAAGCAGCUGAAAAUGGUGCCAUCAACAUAUGUAUUAGGUUAUAUGCAUAAAAAAUUCAGGAUUAUUUGAUUAUUUGUUUUACUAACACAUUUAGAACCACAGGGUUAAGAGAAUUCAAUUCAUUUCCCAACAAAGAUGAGGGGAUUCAUACAAAAUUAUUCAAGACGUAGUCAAAAUUAUUCAUAAUUUGACUCGAACUUUGCACUUUGCAUUUGAGUAAUUAUUCAUAAAUUCACAAAAGACACUUUUUCACUCUUCUAUUGUUAUUCACAUACUUUUCACAAUUACCCAAUUAAAUUAAAUUGAAUUAAAUAAAAGCACAUUACAAACAAAGAGGAAGAAGGUACAAAACAACACCUAAAAAUCAAAGAAGCGGUGCUAUUUUUUCUGUCUCAGGGAGGAAGGAAAUACAGUUUUCAGUUUGAAGUCUUAGCAAAAUAAUCUAAAGCACAUAUGAUUAUGCUGCACCUUUAGGUGGCAACCAGAUAGAAUUUCAAACUUGUUUAGAUAACUCCAAGCACUAACAGUCAAAACUGACUCACUACUUUAGAAAUUGCACCUUUCUAAAUUUUAUAAUUUGACGUUCUAACUUUGAGAUGAUAUGCAAGGGUGGUGUUAUUUCCUUCAUAACCACAUUAUCCGUGUACCCUCCGUUUAACAAGCCAAAAACUAGAGCAGUGUAUGUUACAAUAUCUGGUUCUAGUCGUAGGUCAAUCAUUUCAUUAAAGAAUGUAAUUGCGUUUUGAAAGUUAUAAAUCUUUAGGUGCCCAUCAAUCAUAACAGUGUAAGUAACAACAUCUGGACUAAUUCCCAUUUGCUUCAUGUCUCCCCAGAUAGUCAAAAUAUUGUACAUUGCAUCCUUUCCUUUUCUGUGUCGAGAAUAGAAAUGUUUUAGUCCCACAUCGAGUAGAACUGUGUAUGUAACGACAUCAGGUUUGAUCCCUCUGAUCUCCAUAUCUUGGAAGAGGUCAUGAGCCUCUUGCAAGCAAUUCAUUUCACAAUAACUUUUUAUCAUAAUUGUGUAAGUUACAACGUCAGGCGUAAAUCCUUUCUCAACGAAAAAAUCAAACAAAGAGCGAGCAUGUUUCAUAUUCUCUGCUUGGCACAAUGCAGUUAAUACUUUAGAAUACAUUACUUUGCUAAGUUGCUUAAAACCAGAACUUUCUUUUGCAAUAUCUCCUCGGUUUGAAAUCUCACAGAAAAUUUCAUAUGAUUUUUCAAUAAGGCCAGCCUGACAAUAGCCAUUAACCAUGGCAGUAUAGAUUUCGACACCUUCAUCUUUCCGACAGUUAAAAUAUGCCUCAGCAUCUUCAACCAUGCCCGCUGAACACAAACCUUCAAUGGUAAUCUUAUGUGUAAUGGAGUUUGGCUUCACACCUUGACUAUCCAUAUAACUCAAAAGGUCAACUGCUUCACGAUCACGGCGAUUUCUAAACAAACCGGCAACUAGUACAUUAUAAGCAACACCAUCAGGUUUAAAUCCAUUUUCCUCCAUUUCUUUGAAAACACUAUAGGCUACAUCGGUUUUACCUUGAAGACAGUAACCACUAAUAAAGGUUGUGUAGUGUUUGAUAUCUACAUCGAUAUGCGUGGAUUUCAACUCCUCCAACAUACCUACUGCUACAUCCACCUUACCCAAUUUACACAAAGAAUUAAAAACAAUGUUGUAUGCUACCCCAUCAAGAAACACACCCAACCGCUUUAAUUCUUUAAAUGCAUCUACAACUUCUGAAUACAUACCAAUCUCUCCCGAGCAAUGAAGGAUACAACUAGCAAUCACACAAGUUGUCUUUAUACCCUUCGAAAUCAUGUCCUCGUGUAAUUUGAAAGCUUUACCCAAAUCAUUGCUCUUACAGUAUCCACGGAUCAACGAAGAAUAAACAUGCGAAUCAGGAACAAGUCCCUUCCAUUUCAUGUCAUAAAACACAUCCUCGGCUUUAUCUAAUUUCAUUUCAUUACAAAACCCGCGAAUAACUGCGGCAUAGGCAUAAACCUCAAUAGGAGCGUUCAUCUUUCUAUGAUAUUGGAGCACUUCAUAUCCCAAAUCAGACAUAUGAUUAUUACACAGCCCCUCAAUAUAAGCUUUGUAACAAUACGAAUUGGGAGUCACACCAGCAUCCAUCAUUUCAUCAAACACACGAACAACGUAUUUCAAACAAUCAACCUUCUUACACAAUGCCUUGAUAAUAAUGCCAUAAGUGUGAUGAUUAGGACACAAACCAAGCCUCUUAAUUCGACCAUAAACGUCCAAAGCCAUAUCAAUUUUAUCAUAAUUAACCAAACGGUUAAUAAGAAAAUUACAAGCAAACAUAGUUGGAAAAAUCCUAAACCUCUCAAUUUGAAAUUGAAACAAGAACUCAACACUUUCAUCAAACAUGUUAAGACCAACAUAAGCUUUAACAACCCCAUCAAAAGCUCUAACAAAGUAACAAUUUUUAUUAUCAAAAUCAACACUCUCUACUAGUUUCUCAAACAAUUCAUGAACUUCAAAUAAUGGGUUUUGUUGGGAACAACGAGAAAUUAUAUCGCGAAGAAGAGAAUCCAAACUUGUAUUCAAAUUCCAAUAACAUAGUAUUCUAAUGAAAGAAGCAUAGGUUUGAAUAUUGUGUGUGAAACCAUGUUGGUUAAGUUGAGUAAAGUAAGAGAGUGCAAGUGAAGGGUUGUUACGAUAAAGGUAGAGUCAUUGGAGGACUUUGAAGGUGUUAGGAUCAAAAGAUGAGAAAUUUUGAGGUUUAGUGAAAUGGGUUUGUGAGGAAGAAAGUGCAAGAGAAGUGGAAGAAGAAAAAGUGAAUUUUUUGUUGCAGUGAAUGGUUUUGGUUUUGGUUUUGGAGAAUGAGUUUUUGAAGAGAGGAAGAAUAAUGAAAGAAGGUAAAUGCAAGAGACGACACAACAUACCAGUGGUGUUGCGUGCGGCUGAGUUUCGGCGAGGCUACGGCGGCGAGGAACAAAACAUUCAGAGUUCGGGCGACGGUAACAAAACACAAAAUUGAUUACCAACCAACAACAAAUUCAACAAUCUAAUGAGAAUAACGAUAAUGCAACGCAAAUCGAACACAUGGCGAAGAUUAGAUGGCAAAAUUAUCAGGAACAAGCAAAUUGAAGACAGGGUGAUACUAGGAACAAAGAGCAAACAUCAAAACAUAAAACAGAAACAAAAUCGAACCUGGGUUGUUGCAGAGCAGAGGGUGAUUCGUGUUUCUAAUGGAAAAAACGCUUUCGUGAGCUCUCUUAUAAAUAUAUUUUCUUCAAAAAUUGAUUUAUUUUACUAACAAAAAAGAUGUAUUUAUUUUAUGGGUAUAGGUAUAUUUGUACAGUAUUUUAUUUUGACAGUAUUCAGCGAUCAAGAUUUCCUGACUUUAGAGCACCAAGGCAUGGUGUCCUUGCCUCAACACUGUCGGUCAGAUAAAUCACACAAUCCAAAACAUGUCACGUGUCCCUUUUUUCAUUUCAUUUAAAUAAGAUCUAAUUGCCCUUUUAAUCCUCUUAUUUUAUUAUUAUUGUGAAAUUAGUCUCUUUAUUUCAAAAAUAAAAAUCUUAGCGUCUCAGUCCCUAUGAGUUUAGAUCAGUUGGUAGGGACAUCGAACUAUAUGUGCAGAACCCGGAUUCGAACCCGGGACACUCCACUUAUUCAUCUUUAAGGUAUAUUUUCUAGCCACUAANNNNNNNNNNNNNNNNNNNNAAAAAAAAAAUAGUGUCUCAAUUUUGACAUUUAUUGCAGUUUUGCACCCCACUAGGCCUCCACUGUCCCGAUUCAUAUCAAUUGUAUGUCCACCUAUUAUAUUGGAUGGUAAAUUUAAUCCCUUAUUAUUUUCUUUAUAAACGGCGUGCAACUGCAUAAACUAAUCCCCUCGAAGUACUGAGAUCGAUUUAAGGGAUCCAAGUAUCUAUCACUUGUGUCACAUUAUAUUGGUAAUCCCUUAUUUAUUUAUUUUUAGUUGUCAUUAUAUUGUAUUUCACCAUCAUUUUUAAUUAUCAUGAUAAUGAUAGUACAAUUUUUUCUAUGCAACCCCAGAUGUUUUGUCAGAUUGACAUAUAUCUCUCAAUAGUUUGAUCGAUUUUGAAUGUGUGUCGGUUGUUUCUUUAAUUUUGCAGCCUCAUGUGCCUUACUUUUUCAAUAUGCUUUAUGAGUGCUUGAGUUCUAUGGCUUGAGUUCAAAGUUUCGAUAAUGUUCUUCUCUCUUAAGACAGAUUAUCUCGCCUGUUGAUUGUCUUUUGGUUUCAUAUUCAAACGAUACCAAAGCGACUAUAAUAGUAGUAUUAUGUGUGCAGUUCUUUAUCGAAAAUUUAAGCAAGGUUUUUCAGUCUGAGAUUUGAGAUUAGUGGAUGUUUCACCUACGAGGUUUUUCAACCAUAUUGCAUCAUUUCGAAAUCUAGGUUCAGAAGCUAAUUCCAUUCUGGUUUCUGCUAGGAUCAAAUUUAGGGGCAUUUUUUAUUUUUGGGGGGGCUGAGAGCAAUACAUGGGGCCUAAAGAGCAAUUUUCUACUAGGUAGCGAGGAAGCUUGAAUUGGGCUUUAAAAGUCGUAUUUCCUUUUAUUCAACAAGCCCAUUAAUGAAUAUAUUUAGAGAAUUUAUUUUGGCACCCACUAAGUUUUUUUGCACGUCCAUAAAAUUACAAAAAUAUCCCUUAUGCUACUUAAUUAGUGGAUGUGUAAAAUAUUGAAAUCUUGUUAGUUGUUACGGGUGUUUUUUUUUUUUCUUCUCAAAUUUCCCAUUUUUAUAAUGUUCGUUAUUUGGCAAACAUUUAAAAUAGAUCCAAAAUAAUAGUUUUUAAAUCCAAAAUAAUAGUUUUUUUUUGUUAUUUUAAAACGUAAGAUCCAAACACUGGGUUAUAUGAUGUUAGGUUUGGGUAUGGGCUCUUAUCGAGCCGCUUUAUUUCAUUUGAUUAGUCAUGCUUAUUCAAAAGCAUUGUUGUUUUUAGGAUCUGGAUCCAUUAUUCACUCAAUGGAAGCUAUUGUUGGAUAUUCUCCAGAUAAAAGUCAAAAUAUGGUUCUUAUGGGUGGUUUAAGAAAACAUGCGCAUAAAACAAGUUUUUUUCUCCUUGCGAACCCUGAACCUCCAACUCCUUUAACCCUUAAUUCAACUAACUUAACCAAUUGAGCUACUCAUCUCACCCGCCUUUAGUUGAUUAACCAACAUCAAGCAACUAUCAUAACUAAGUUUUAUCGUCCCAAUAAUUAAAAAUAUGGCAUACACAUUCAUGAUUUCCAUAAACCAAUCACUAAUGAUGUAAAGGAUUUUCAUAUCUCGCUUGAGCUUAACUUUAAAGGCUACAUUUCAUAACAUGAAUAACAGAUGAAUUAUAAUUCAUCAAUCAGUCCAACACAUACAUGAUUAAUAAUCAAACACAAGAAUAAAAAAAAUGAGGGGCUGUAUGACUGCAUUGUAGUCAAUCAUCAUAUCUUCUCUUUGAUCUUGAUCAAAUUGUCCAAACUUAAACUCAACUUUUAAAUUUUAAAACAGCUAAAAUUGCAACUUCGAAGUUGCAAUUGCUUUUUUAUUUUUUAUGUCGGUUGGAGUUCCCAAGGUCGUCUAUUUAAUGACGAGAGACGAUGAGGAAUCUUGGACUGAUUUAUACCAUCGAUUUUACGAAGAAAGACUUUUAUUUUUAGGUGAGACCUUAAACUGGACCUAAAAAAUUCCAACCAGUUUAAUCUAGUUCAUAUGCGCUAACUGCAUUGAAUUUAUAUCCUCAUUUCAACAUAUUAGACACAUUCUGUUUUAUUUACCAAUUGUUUUUUUCUUUCACCACGAGUUUAAUCUGAUUCGGGGAUCAGUUCUGACAUCAAGUGGUUUUAGCCCCUCCUGAUCGCAAUUGCGAGGAAUCGAACCAUGAUCCUCCCUAUUAAGUUUAACGCUAAUCAUCACUAAACAAAGUAACUAUUGAUGUUUUAUUUACCAAUUUUAAUGUUACAUACCGCGUGCAAUUGGUAUUUGGCAAUAGGUAAGAAUUGAAUAUGCAAUAAAGAAGACCACUACGGAUUGAACUCUUGAGCUGGAGAUAAACAUGGUAAAUUAUAGACACGUACACGGCAUUAUUACAUCAAACCGAAAUUUACAAUGCGCGCAUAUGGUAAAUAAUGGCAUGAAAAUUCAAUUCAAUUGUGGUAUCUCACAUACACACCUGUAAAGGAAGCUUCCAUUCAUCUUUGAUUCAUGCACAUGUAAGUUAGUAUAGUUAAACGUAUGGAACCAAAAUUUCGGCCUUAAACAUUCCUAUAGCCUAAUUAGGAAUAUUCAUUUCAAUGACGCGUCACAAGACUAACCAAAUACUGUACACAAUAGGAAAAUUUUAUUCUAUUGAAAAAUCAUUAUUAUAGGAUGAGUAAAUAGCACGUGUCUUUAUCAUCCCAGCUUCAACAAAGGUCAAAACCAAUUCAUCGUCCUUAAUCCUUAUCCACAUACCAAACACGACACAUCCAUCCUGUGUUUCACCCAUCUCAUCCACUCAGUUACUUAGUUCCAUCGUUUAACCACUCACAUUACUCGCAAUCUUAAUUGCUAGUAAGACACAACACAAGAUAAGAUACCAUUAACUCUGCCAACAGUAAAAACCGUCACACGCUUUCAAGAAAGAAUCAAACAAACACGUGGCAUUAAUUGAAUUAAUUAAUUAUUUCGGUGCCGAUCACGCGGUUCUGCUGUUCUGUUUCAGAAUCGUUCUAAAUUACUAUCAAAGACAUCAAUGAAAUUGAAAUCAUAUACUACAAACAUAAAAAUCGAUAAAUUUCCAUAAAUUAAAUAAAAAUAAUUAAUCAAUUGAAUUUGAAUUGAAUUGAAUUGUCUAAGUACACAAUCUUCUAAAUUCUAAAACCAAUCCCAAUUUGUAUAUACAGAACAAAUUGAUCCCAAAUAAUCGAAAAAUAAAUUAAAAUAACUAUGAUAAUAAUAAACUUAGAUAGAUCUAUAUUGAUCACAAAAUCACAAUGAUCAAUAUUGAGGAAUUUCAAUCUUGAAAAGACAUGGCUUCUUAGCUGCAGGAUGAGGACUGGAAACCUCAUCAUCCACGAAAAACUUCUUUGAAAAGUCCGGAAAAGCCGGGAGGUUAAGAUCAAAAUCACGGUGUUGACUGUGAGAAGAUCCAACUUCAGAAGCAGUUACGGUGCUGUUUCCACCACCGGCACCGGCACCGGCACCACCUUCAUAGUGACAACGCUUGUGUCCUCCCAAAGCUUGUCCAGUAGGAAAGGAUUUAUGACAAAUGGAACAUUCAUGAGACUUGAUCUUACCGUUGGAUGCAGCAGAGCUUGUAGUCACAGCGGAUGAGGUUGUUGUAGUCUGAUGAUCUUCACCAGUUGACAUAACAGCACUUUUCCGAUGACUGGCUUUGUGUCCACCAAGUGCUUGAUAAGAUGAAAAAGCUUUGUUGCAAACAGAGCAUUUGUGACUGAGUUUAGCGGGUGCUGAUUCGGUGUCAGAUAGAGCAGGUUUGACGGCGGUGGGAAGAGUAAUAAUCUUGUUGUUGUUGUUGUUGUUUCCGCUGCGAGCGAGCAUGAUGAGACAGAGAGCGAGAUACUCUUCCUCAGUACAAGAAGAUUGAUCCAUACGAGAACGUUUAGAACGUUUACCUUUAGUCCAAGGUGCAGCAUCGAUGUAACCGUGAUUUGGUUCCUCGAAAGGAGUGAAAGGAGUAGCGGUGGUGGGAGAGUUAAGCGCUUCCAUAGCCAUAAGAAAGAUUAUGAAACAGACAGAAUAUUCAAGAGUUGGUUAGCGUUACGCAAAUGAAAGUAGAAAAGGUUUAAGUUGUUGAGAGAGAGAGAGAAGUGAUUAUGAUUAAUUUUUUUGGAGUGUGAUAGUGAAGAAUAGGUGAGGUGUGGUUGGGUUUAUAUACAAUGAGGAGAGUGAAGAGGUGAGGAUUGUAGUGGAAGUUACUUGACAGGUGCAGAGAAAGUAGGCGCAAAUAGAAAAUAAGUUAAUUGAGUAGAUUAUUACAUGUGGAGAAGCUUGGUGCACGUGUUUUACAAUAGUUUUCAAAGGUGGCCAGUAGUAGUAGUAGUGGACCUUCUCAUCAGUCAAAUAAAGUGUUGUUGUACCGACUGCAGUUUUUUUUUUUUAAAAGCGAGUAAGAUUAGAUAGAGAUAGAACAAGUGACUUGUACAAGAUGUCAAGAUGUAAGACUUUUCAACCUCUCUCUGAAGUCUUAAGUAUGUGGUUGUGUUGUAGGUUUAAUUUUUAACCAUAAAGUAAGUUUCACGUCGGUUGUGACCGUAAAGUAAAGACAAUUUUUAUUUCACUAUCCAAUUUUGUAAGAAUGAUUUAGGCUCAACUCAAUUCUAAGAUUGAUAAUUGUCUAUAAACAAUGGAUGUAUCUGAUAAUUAGGAACAAACAUGCCGUUAUGGAGUUUGUGGUCGAACGGUUUAAAAAAAUAUAAACUUAAUUUUUAUUUAAUAANNNNNNNNNNNNNNNNNNNNNNNNNNNNNNNNNNNNNNNNNNNNNNNNNNNNNNNNNNNNNNNNNNNNNNNNNNNNNNNNNNNNNNNNNNNNNNNNNNNNNNNNNNNNNNNNNNNNNNNNNNNNNNNNNNNNNNNNNNNNNNNNNNNNNNNNNNNNNNNNNNNNNNNNNNNNNNNNNNNNNNNNNNNNNNNNNNNNNNNNNNNNNNNNNNNNNNNNNNNNNNNNNNNNNNNNNNNNNNNNNNNNNNNNNNNNNNNNNNNNNNNNNNNNNNNNNNNNNNNNNNNNNNNNNNNNNNNNNNNNNNNNNNNNNNNNNNNNNNNNNNNNNNNNNNNNNNNNNNNNNNNNNNNNNNNNNNNNNNNNNNNNNNNNNNNNNNNNNNNNNNNNNNNNNNNNNNNNNNNNNNAGAUUGAUAAUUGUCUAUAAAUAAUGGAUGUAUCUGAUAAUUAGGAACAAACAUGCCGUUAUAGAGUUUGUGGUCGAACGGUUUAAAAAAAUAUAAACUUAAUUUUUAUUUAAUAAUUUUAUAAAUACUGUUUUUAAAUCAAUAGUACCAAACCCACUUGGGUUGGUACAUUGGUAUUGGCUUGGGACCUGAGAGUGUGCUCCUCUUGAGAUCUGAGGUUCGAUUCUCUCUGGCGCCAAUUUGGGUAGGCUAAUUUAACUUUUUCAAAAAAAAAAUCAAUAGUAUCAUUUAAUUUGAUCAGACAGUCACUAAUAUUAGAUUGUGUGGCUAUAUAUUUUUUUACUGCACCUAAAUCAGAUCCCAUGUAAUAUAGCUAUCGUAAAAUGAAGAUAAUAUGAACAAGUCUUUUUUAUCUUAGCUAAAAUUUGGUAUUUGAAUUUUAAUUUUUACAAGCAAAAAUGUUAAAAGUUUCAGGAAAAUUUGUGUUUGCAAUUUGGCAUAUACUAGUAUAGUAUAAUAUAGAGAUAGUAAGGAAGACUGACUCUACAUUCAAAAGUCAAAAUGAGGGAAAAGUAUAAUAACAAUUUUUCUUUUAUUGUUUUUAAUUGAGAUUAAAUGUGAUUAAGGAAGUUGGUCCGAAACAAUGUUUGUCAACAGCCACCGGUAGGACAGUGGGAACUAGCCACCAACGACUUUUCUUAGUCAAUGUCACAGUAGCCGACUUUAAAUAACUUUGUAUACAUAGCACUGUUUCCAUUUUACAACUUGGUAAGUGAGUCUUUGAGUUUGAUUAAUUCAUCAUCUAUGGUUCGGUGUAUAUGCAAUAUUAAUAUGGAUGCAAAUGGCAUUCAAAUUAUGAAUAAUUAAUAUUAUAUUAAAAUUUGAGAACAAAUUGGGGCACUGCAUGCCGUUUGUCACGGUGAGAGGAGAGUAAGAUAACCGGCCAGAUCACAUGAAGGAUUUUUGCUAAAUAAGCGUCAGCAACAGCAUGUGGAGGGAGGGUCUGUUUGUUAUUAUGUAACCUAACCUCUCUCAAUUGAUUAUAACUAUUGCCUGUUUGGUGUCUUACCAUAAAAUGAAUACUUAAGGUUAGAGCUUGCUAGAAACUAAUAACACUAAACAUGUAGAACCUAAUUUGCCGUAUUGAAUAAGAUUGUUUGGCAAAUUGAUUAUAUUUUGAAUCGGCUAAAAGCCCAACAUACGAGAAGGUCCAUCCAAAUGAGAUAAAAAUAAACAUGUGGCAACGCGACCAUGACAAACAUACAAACGAGCACAGAUUAAAGGUGAACUGCCUAAACCGUCCUCAAGUGCUUGUACGGAAGGACAAUACAUGUGUUAUCUGUGGCUGAUCCACUACACAUGGGGGACCUCACAGUACUGUAAACUCUAAUAUCCUCUCGUAUAUAAACACUCAUACAUCAAUUCCUAGGUAUGACAUUUUGCGCCUCCAGUUACACUCUUUAAAUCUCUUUCAUAUACUGACUUGAGCGUCGGAGUGCUACCAUGACUGCAGGUACCCUUCCCUCCAACGCUUCAAUGCCGAAAUCGUCAAACUCUCACGACCAUCAUCAACACUCUACCAUCAGUUGAGAUGUCGCUGUUCAAAAGUUGACCCAUUCAGCUCAAUCCAUUUCUGAAACCUAGUUCAGAUUAUAUCAGCACAACAUGAACGUAAUUAUCUCGUUUAUCUUUAUUUUAAAAAUUAAAAUUAUCUCGUCCUGUGAGCCCAACUCAGUUGGCAUGGAUAUUGCACCAUACAUAUCCGGGAAUUUAAACUCUUAACACUCGACUUAUUCAUCUUUCUAACCACUAGAAGAAAAAAAAAUUACCUCAACAUUUUCACACUUAUUUUCUUUCUCCUAAAAAAACUUUUUUUAAAAAAAAAAAUACUCUUAACAAACUGAUGCAAUGCUCUUAAAAAUUAUUAUUAUUUAAAAAAAAAUGAUUUAUUUUUUCUUCUAGAAAAACCCUGAAGUGAAGCUUCAAGGUGGAAUUGGGGAAGGUUCAAGUGACAGUAAAUUUUGGGUGGAAUGAGAUUUUCUAUGUUGAUUUUUGACUUUACUAUAAUUGGAAAUUUAACCAAUGGAUAAGGUUAAGAACAUGCAACCACGAAGUUUGUUUCCUUUUGAAUUCUUUCAGUUCACUUAUGUGGAAAAUUUUCAAAACAAAAAAAGUCUAGAAACCAGUAAUGCUAUUGGAUUUUGGAAAGCUAACCAGGCAAAGAUUGUUAAAGAAAAAUGAGCCAAACAUUCAGUUUCACAUGUGCACUUGUCGAAUCAUUUUUAUACCGUGUUCAUAGUCAAAUUUAUGGUAUUGAGACAUCUAUUGUAUGAUAGUUUUUUUUAUUUUUUUUUUUUAAACAAACUGGAGAUUGAACCCAGGAUCUAUAACGUACUACUCAAACUUCUUACCACUAGAUCAAACCUAGUGACUUGUAUUUUAUGAUACUAUUUUUGGAUUUGAAUUCUCUUAUGUCUUUUCUUUUAUGAUAGCUGUUUAUGUUGAUUCGAAAUUAACAUCAAUUUCAAAGAAUUGUCUAUUACAUCUACGUCUACUUCGUUGGAUAGAUAUGAUAUUCAUGAUUGUGUUGGGCCAAAAUGGGUAUUCAUCCAAGAAGUUCAAUAUCGAGUAGUUGGAAGAAAAAUAGAAGUAGAAAGUUAUUAUAAAUAUGGAGAGUUAUAUUGAGUUUUGUUCACCACAACAACUCUAUUCUUAUAGAAUUAUUGUAGUUGUGAGUCAUGGGAGGACGGUUUGCAAAUUUUCCAUGCAAAAAUUAAAGUUGAGAUGGUUUGCAAUUUUAGUGCGUGUAAAAAAUUGCAAUUGUGUGUGAGAGUUUUAUAGGUUGCAAUUUCACCUUGUCAAAAUUGCAAAUUUAGUUUUAUAUUAUUGCAGAUUUGGUAGUAAAAUAUUAUUGUGAGUUGAUUUUGUUUGGUUUUAUUUAUUGGUUGAAUAUUCUAUUUGUUUUUAUUUAUUGCGUGGAGAUUUUUUUUUUUUUUUGAAUGUUUUCCCAACAGUUUGCUCCGUAUUCGUGUGGCCGUGUGGGUAUUCGCUUAGCGGAUAAUCCAUGGAUUUUGAUAUAUCCGCAAAUAUUUAUGGAUAUUCAUGGAUGAAAUGAAAAAUUAAGAUUUUUUUAUUGUAAGUGAAAAGUUGUAAGAAGAUGAUGAAAUUUUUUACCUCAAAAGAUGAAAAAAUAAAGUAAAAAAAUUUCUCAAUUAAAUAUGGAGAAAAAACACAAAAAUACAAGAAGAACUUUUUUUAUACAAUAAAAAUACUAGAGUUUAUAUUUAAAUAGGAACAUUUACGUAAUUUUACUAAUUUAUUAGUGGGUAUGGAUAUCUGUGGGCACAAAUAGUAUUAACCCGCAUCUGUAUUCAUUAUAUACGAAUAAUUGAAAUAUCCAUUUAUUUUAUCCGGUCAUAUCCUAUAAACCCGUGGCGAAUUUUAUCCGUACGUGGAUAUCCAUGGGUACGAAUUUUUUUGUCAUCCCUAUUCAUAGACUAUAAUAAAAUUUUACAUAAUCAAUUCAUUACAAAUCUUUUUUUCUUCGUAGAACCAAACAUAGACCAUAUAACAAAUUUCAUCAAAGUAAAAAAAAAAUUCAAGCAAAUUAGUACCAUUUUACUUAUCAAAUGUGUAAUUUGCUGUCACAUUAGUUUCUCAAUGUAUCAAAAUUUGGGCUGAGAAUGGACCCGCGACCCGACGCGAAAUCGGCAUAACAACCAACAUUUGGAAGCACUCGGUCGGGUGUGGGUCUGGUCUCGAGUCAAUAAUUGUAAAAUAUCAGUCAUGGAUGCUUAUAUACAGACGGGUGUGAGUCUCUAAAAAUUCAUCUUUUCAUAAUCGAAACCAACCAAAGAAUUACUACUAAAAUGCAAUUUUUUUCUUCCGGUUUCGAGCACAUCCUCCCUCUCUCUCUCUCUCUCUCUCAAUCUCUUAUAUUCUUCCCUUUAUUAUGUUUAGCUAUCUUUGAUAGAGAUGAAUGUUAUAUUUUAGAAGCUUAACUUGUAAAUAUGUUGAUAAAGAAUAUGUGAAAGAUAAUAUUAUAGAUUUAUCUUAAUUUAUACUUCUCAUCUACUUAAUCUAUUAUUGUAACAAGGUAACUACAUCUUUUCCUUUUUGUUGUAUCAUAUUGUAUGUUGUAUUGUGUACGAAAUAUUGAACAUUUGAAGAAUAUGAAUUUUUUGAUCAACGAAAUUUUAGAUGAAACAACAAAGUUUCAAGUUAACCCGUUAAAACCGACCCGUUAUAUUUGUCACUAGAAUGACUCGACACCAGAACAAACUGAAGAUAUAGAUGAUCGAACUUGGGUUUGAAUUAAGAGGUUGUGGUUUU